Small nuclear RNA from Suncus etruscus (white-toothed pygmy shrew), 105 nucleotides. NCBI's taxonomy places the organism in Eukaryota, Metazoa, Chordata, Mammalia, Eulipotyphla, Soricidae. The record is from RefSeq and is a predicted model, not a curated record.
GUGCUCGCUUCAAUAGCACAUAUACUAAAAUUGGAACAACAGAGAGAUUUAGCAUGGCCCUUGCGCAAGGAUGACACGCAAAUUCAUGAAGCAUUCCAUAUUAUA